Molecule: non-coding RNA, 1417 nt
Organism: Macaca mulatta (Rhesus monkey)
Lineage: Eukaryota; Metazoa; Chordata; Mammalia; Primates; Cercopithecidae
Source: RefSeq, a predicted model, not a curated record
AGCUCAGGAUCCAGAAUGCAUUUGAACAAUUCAUGCUAAAUUAAUAAAUGCACUUUAAUAUAGGCCCAUAUUAAUCCCAAAAUAACUAAACCUGUGGAAUUUGUAAAAUAAGAUGUUUAUGAAUGAGGACAUGGCAUUUUGACUUAGUUCUGAUUCCCCCCUUUCUGAAAGCAGAAUCUACAGUCUAUUUUCCCAUUGCUAGAUUUCAGAGGAGAGCCUGGUGUCACUUACAGCAGACAUUGCAGAUGCCUCAGCAUUUCGGAUGAAGACGUAACCAAGGAGCCUUUGAUUAGUAGUGAAAUUGUGGCACCCCAACAAUGGUGGAGUGGAAUAUCCUGCUACUCUGGAGGGGUGAUGGCUCAGGGUCAAGACUGAACUAAUUAGAAAAAGAAAUGCACUCCAGGAAUAUCAAGUCCAAAACGAAGCUCUUCAAACCAUCUGGGAAGAGAAAACAGCAUGACAAGGAAAGGUAUAUUUGUCUGAUCCCAGGAAUCAAUAUAAACAUCCAUGAUAACCCCACCUAUUUUUUAAAUAUAUGAUUUGGAUGAAACAAGAGAAAGAGACUGAUUGUUGCUGAGUCCCUGCUGCAGUCCCGACACAGCUGGAGAUGCCCUGCUCCCCUGCUCCCCUGCUCCCCCGCUCCCCCGCUCCCCCGCUCUCCUGCUCUCCUGCUCUCUUUAUUUUGUUGAUGCUCAUGAGGACCCUGAUGUCUGAGGAAGAAGGUUCCCGUCCAGCUCUGCCCCUGGUGUGUCACGUGCCGGCCUUGUCAACGCACAGGAGAACCUGACAGGAGCAUCCUUGAAAUGAUUGACUCAACCAUGAGAGAAACACUGUAAAUAUUCUCAGAUGCAAACUCACAGUACCAGCUUCACAGAACACCUGCAGGUGCAAGUAACUAAAAAUCCAGCUCAAUUUUACUUUAAAUACAAGGGAAUUUAUUGACUCAGGUGGGUAGUUCAGAAGGAGGCCAGGCUUCAGUGUGAAUCUGAGCACAGAAGCUCAUGGAUGCUACCAGGACUCAGUCUCUUCCCAAUUUUCUGCUCUGCCUUCAGUGAAGUCAGAAUAAUUCUGCAUGUGGCAAAAUCUCCAGGAACAAUUUCUGAGGUUGCAUUCUUCACCAAAGAGGGAGCAUGAACAAGCACACCCUUGUUCCUAACAACCUAGCGCAACUUGUAUUUGACUCUAAUUGGAACAACUCAGACCCCGCCCAUCCCAAAGUCCAUUAGGGGGACCAAGGGAGUGCUGUGUGGCACCUGGCAUGAGCCUCAGUUAUGCACUCACUUUGGAACCAGUAACUGUGACACAGGGUGAGACAGUGCUGGUUAAGUCAACCGGGACCCACCCCAUGUUUCAAACCACGUGACUGAAUAAUUCAGGGCUCUGUUAGGAAGGAGAAAGGGGGAUGCUUCUUAAAUAG